GAGUGAGUGACUUUAUUUGCAGGACAGCACGGAAGCGUCGUGGAUUGGAACAUCUGGCGGCGUCUCUCCACGCCACACCACUCGUCCAGAAUUUGCAGGUCAGCCGACCUUGACAGUCGCAACAACGCAUCAUGUCGGCUCCACAGAGCUGGAUGGCCAGAUUAACAGGCUGGAGAUGAUACAGGAUGCUGGAUAGAGCCCACUCAGAGCUGCUGAGCUAUUGCAUAUUUCGUUUGGGUGGGCGAUGCCAAAUCCGUCGCUCACCCCAAAUUUAGCCCAGUAGACCGUCGUGGGCGUAUCGUCUUCUUGGUGAGUAUGUGUCUGUAACUUUUAAGCAGAGCUUUUGAUUUUAUGUUUUUAAUUUGCAGAACGACACAUCAGCCUCGUAGUUUGGAAUACAUCUAGUGGCGUCUCUCACACGCCACACAACUUAUCCAGGAAUUUCAGGCUGACGAGGAGCAUUAGGUUUUGGAAACGUCGUGGGUUGGCACAUCUGGCAGUGUCUCUCACACGCAACCCCAUUCUUGCAGGAUUUGGAGGUCAGCGACUUUGGCAGUCGCAGAAACGGAUCAUGUCGGCUCCUCAACGUUGGAUGGCCUGAUUAACAGGCCGAAGCCGAUACAGGAUGCUGGAUGGAGCCCACUACAGAGCCCAAAUUCAAUACGUGGCUCAGUAGACCGUCGUAGGCGUAUCGUCUUCUUGAUAAUUUUCCGAAAUUUUUGGACCUAUUCAAUGGACGUACCAAGAAGACAAAGCCCCCAUCCAUACAGACCGGGUUACAAAACAGUGGAUUAAGGGCCAGAAUGUCAACUUGCUCGAGUGGCCGCCAUACUCCCCAGACAUAAAUAUUAUCGAGAACAUUUGGGGAAUUUUAUCCAGGAGAGUGUAUGAAGGGGAAGACAAUUUCAGGUCUCGGCGACCCUGGUUGAAGCGAUAAAAAAAGCCUGGUCAACUAUUUCACUGAGUGAAAUUGAAAAAUAUUACGAUUCCAUAUCAACUCGAAUGUUUGAAAUAAUUAAGAAUAAGGGUGGUCAUACCAAAUAUUAAAUAAUGCAGAAAUAGUGUCUUUUAUUAUUUAAGUUACCAAGUGCCAUGAAAUAUUGCUAUGAAUAAUUUUUUUUUAUAGUUUUGUCGGUCAAACCUGUUCACUUGAGCC
Non-coding RNA from Drosophila virilis, 1156 nucleotides. Lineage: Eukaryota; Metazoa; Arthropoda; Insecta; Diptera; Drosophilidae. The record is from RefSeq and is a predicted model, not a curated record.